GUAGGUGGCAAGCGUUGUCCGGAAUUAUUGGGGCGUAAAGCGCGCGCAGGCGGUUCUUUAAGUCUGAUGUGAAAGCCCACGGGCUCAACCGUGGAGGGUCAUUGGAAACUGGAGAACUUGAGUACAGAAGAGGAAAGCGGAAUUCCACGUGUAGCGGUGAAAUGCGUAGAGAUGUGGAGGAACACCAGUGGCGAAGGCGGCUUUCUGGUCUGUAACUGACGCUGAGGCGCGAAAGCGUGGGGAGCAAACAGGAUUAGAUACCCUGGUAGUCCACGCCGUAAACGAUGAGUGCUAAGUGUUAGGGGGUUUCCGCCCCUUAGUGCUGCAGCUAACGCAUUAAGCACUCCGCCUGGGGAGUACGGCCACAAGGCUG
This 373-nucleotide ribosomal RNA is filed under the name uncultured organism. Its description in RNAcentral is "partial 16S ribosomal RNA". It matches the Rfam family "Bacterial small subunit ribosomal RNA", at positions 527 to 896 of the family's 1533-position model. The record is from RNAcentral.